This is an RNA transcript of Salvia miltiorrhiza (redroot sage), 973 nucleotides long. It is a transcript of the gene named probable alpha-mannosidase At5g66150, with no coding region annotated. The record is from RefSeq and is a predicted model, not a curated record. The transcript has 6 exons. NCBI's taxonomy places the organism in Eukaryota, Viridiplantae, Streptophyta, Magnoliopsida, Lamiales, Lamiaceae.
CUGAUCAUGUACUGUUAGGCUGAUGCUGGAGAGUCACCCUCACUUGUUGCUCGAGGAUUCAGCACUGUUCAGGCUGCUAGUGGUGGUGACCAACUUGAAAUUCAAGUUCCAGUUGAAAAGGUUGGUUUAAUAAUUGGGAAGGGUGGAGAAACUAAAAACUUGCAGACAAGAUCUGGGGAAGUCUUUCUUGUCCCAAUUUGUUCUAUAUUAUGUCCUUAAGUUAGGCGACUGGGCUCCUAAUGUUAUAAUGGUGGUUAUUCAAUCCUUGUUUGAUUUGCUGUUUCUCUCUCUCUAACAGUGUCAGUUACUCAACAUAAGUUACUGUCCAUCAACGGAAGAAGAUGUUCCCAAAGGGAAGAGUUUGGUUGUUGUCGCCUACAAUUCACUUGGAUGGGCCCGUACUGAUAUUAUCAGGAUCCCGGUUAAUGAUUAUAAUCUUGUCGUCAAAGACUCCUCGGGGAAUGUUGUUGAGUCUCAAUAUAUAGAAAUGGAUAAUGUGACAAGUGAACUGAGAAAGUUCUAUCUGAAGGCAUAUCUUGGGAUUUCAGACAUCAGAGCUGCCAAAUAUUGGCUCGUCUUUCCGGCAUCUGUGCCACCUUUGGGCUGGAACACUUACUUCAUCUCUAAAGGAACUCAAAAAGGAAGGAGACGAAAAUUUAUGUCUAUGAUGGAUGUUGCACAGAAUGAAACUAUCAAUAUUGGACCAGGAAACUUGAAACUGUCAAUUUCCACCACAUCAGGGCAACUUACUCGCAUCUUCAAUUCUAAAACAGGAGUCGAUAUACCUGUGCAACAAAGCUAUCUUUGGUAUGCUUCAAGUCCAGGAGAUGCCACCACUCUAGAGUAUAUAUUUUGAUGCAACUGUCACAGAAUGUAUCGGCCAUUAAUUGAUGAUGUAUACUUGAUAUUUGGUUCAUUUGUAUAAUAAUGUAUGAAUUUUUUGGAUGAUAUAUAAUAUUGUCAUCGUUGAUUU